UUUCAUUUAGACAGCGAUAUUUAUAGCUGACCGAAAUCGGUUUUCAAAAGCACGUCCUUUUAAAAACCGCUUGAAUAUUAGAACAGAACAAAUAAAACUGACGAGGAUAUAUGUAAGUGGAUACGCUCGUUACUUCGAAGGUCGGCCGAGAGAGGGAUUUAAAUAAUAAAAUCGACGCUUUUUGAAGAAAACAUUUCAUUCCACAGAAGUCUUUUCAUGAAAAAGUCGUAUUUCUUUUCUAACGAAAUACGAUUGGAUUGACAGGAGAAGAGAAACGGACAGUAUUUUAAUUGUACAGUUGAAAAGGUAGAAUGCAAUUCAGACCAAGUUUACGCGAGAAAUUUAUUUCCGAUUGUUGAUACGCUUACUUCUAUCACAGCAUACAGACGUAAGUUAUACGCGCUUUUACCAUACGUGUGUGUAUGUGGUAUGUAUGUAAGUAAUGUAUUCCCUCUCGUACGUGUGGCGGUGUGUGCGUACGUGAAACGAUGGCUUUUUUAAUUAGUUAACACUUUCGUAAUAGAGUUACAAUGUAUGCGUUGUCAAUUUUAUGUUGCCCACUUCUCUCGCCUUCGCACUCGUUUAAACGAUAAUCAACUAUACACCAAUCUCUACGUCCCAGUCAAGCCUCGCGCAUUGAUAUCAAACCUAGGUUACAUGUGUGAUUUUUAACUAUAUGUUAUACCAUCUUUGUUAACGUACUUAUGAAAUCUGGAUAGGUUAGGAUCGCGGUUAACGCGGGAGCAUAGAGUAUCGACAACCGGAUUUUCUGUACGCCCGCCGGGAUUUUCCAUUGAUCACGAACUAAAUCCUAAAAUGGCAGUUAUAGAAGACGUCGCUACGCUCUCGCGUUAGUAGUCGUGAUGGCUGCAUGUUUCUUACAAAAAACGAUGGAGUUUAUUGACGGAUCGACGCAGAUGACAUGGAUUUGAUAAUAAGAUGGAUCCAGAGGGUCGAUGAUAACGCGUUUGGUUGAUCUUGGUCGUAUAAUUCCUUAGAAUAAAUUGCAUAUGAAUAUCGUCGUUCAGACACGACAAUUUAUAAAAUUAUAGAAUAAAACCGGUUUUAAAAGUGAGAAAUAUCGGUCGAAAUAAUCUUUCAUCGAUUUAUUUUUUUCUUUUCUCUUUUUUUUUUCGGACUUUUCCUUUUGUAUAUGUUUCUCGUAAAGUAUAAAAUCAAGGUUCUUUCAUUUCUUUCUUAACCUUUUAAAUGCCAUAAGCGCGUGGUGCCGCCUAUACAAAGAGCGUGUGUAUUCGCGCUCUAAUUUGAACUUUCUUAUUAUUGAGAUUUUUUAAUCGCGGCCUAGUGAGUAUCUCCGAUAUAAUAUUAUACGGCAUCUAAAGGGUUAAUUUUUUUUUUCGAUAAAUCACAGUAGUUUCGUUUCCUUUUUUUCUCCCGAUGUUCACAUGCGAUUUAUAUCGAAGUCGUUCAAAGGGAUUUUAUAUUGGCCGCUAUUUUGUCAGUUCCCUCUUUUUCCCGCCAAUUCUGUUCUGCGUCGUUUCUCGUCGUGGACGUUUGUAACACUCGUUUCCCGGCAACCGACCGUAAUAAAAAUUUUCUCUUUCUCUCUCUCUCUCUCUCUCUCUCUCUCUUUCUUUCUCUCUUUCGCACGCUCGCUCGCUCGCUCGCUCUCAAUGCAAAUUACAGAAUCCUACUUCACUUUAAAAGCAUAUAUUCGUACGCAUCAGCCGUGCGCGUCUUUGUCUUUCUCUUUAUUUUCUUUCUAGUUAUAAUCUUUCGCGCUCUGUAUGCUUCAUUUCCUUCUUCUCAUCGUCACACAUUGCUUUAUCCUAAAAACGUGUGUUCCUAGUGCUACUGUGAUACGGCGGUUUUACCGUGAAAACCAUAUACGCGAAUUGUUCGAGCAGCGAAAACGCUUCUCAUCGAUUCGAUUCACCCUUUGUCCGUUCUCUAGAACGUUUUAAAAUUCGGAGUUUUAUAAUAUCCCAAUUCGGUGCGAAUUUGAAACUUAAAUAGCGCCGGGAAAAGAGACGCUUCUCUUGCUCGGGUUUAAAAUUAAAAAUAUCGAUUCUUUGGAGACAAAGCGUGGAUCGUGGUCGAGGCUUCGAAACAAUCCGGAAUCCGCUCCUUCGUUAAAUGCCUUCGAAUUGGUCUACGAGAGUUUAAUACGAUUAUUGCGUAUAUAUAUAUAUAUAUUUUUUUUUUUUUUUGCGCCGUACGCGCUGUGAGAUGGGUUCGAUCGACUAUUCCGUCGUUUGCUUCCAUUCUCUUCGCGGGAGGUGAGGGGGAUCAAAGAGGCCAGCGAGAUACAUCUCUUGCGGCGUGGCGAGAUUAUAGCGACCGCUCAGGCGACUUCCGGUCAGACCGUUAUUAUGAUGCGUGUGAUUCACGUGGAGAUGGUUCACGUUCAGGACAACGUUCUUUUUUUUCUUGCGAGCUUUGUGUCGAUAGAGG
This is a long non-coding RNA of Bombus impatiens (common eastern bumble bee), 2415 nucleotides long. RefSeq lists it as uncharacterized. The record is from RefSeq and is a predicted model, not a curated record. The transcript is spliced from 3 exons. NCBI's taxonomy places the organism in Eukaryota, Metazoa, Arthropoda, Insecta, Hymenoptera, Apidae.